GAACGCUGGCGGCGUGCUUAACACAUGCAAGUCGAACGGUGAACACGGAGCUUGCUCUGUGGGAUCAGUGGCGAACGGGUGAGUAACACGUGAGCAACCUGCCCCUGACUCUGGGAUAAGCGCUGGAAACGGCGUCUAAUACUGGAUAUGUGACGUGACCGCAUGGUCUGCGUCUGGAAAGAAUUUCGGUUGGGGAUGGGCUCGCGGCCUAUCAGCUUGUUGGUGAGGUAAUGGCUCACCAAGGCGUCGACGGGUAGCCGGCCUGAGAGGGUGACCGGCCACACUGGGACUGAGACACGGCCCAGACUCCUACGGGAGGCAGCAGUGGGGAAUAUUGCACAAUGGGCGCAAGCCUGAUGCAGCAACGCCGCGUGAGGGACGACGGCCUUCGGGUUGUAAACCUCUUUUAGCAGGGAAGAAGCGAAAGUGACGGUACCUGCAGAAAAAGCGCCGGCUAACUACGUGCCAGCAGCCGCGGUAAUACGUAGGGCGCAAGCGUUAUCCGGAAUUAUUGGGCGUAAAGAGCUCGUAGGCGGUUUGUCGCGUCUGCUGUGAAAUCCGGAGGCUCAACCUCCGGCCUGCAGUGGGUACGGGCAGACUAGAGUGCGGUAGGGGAGAUUGGAAUUCCUGGUGUAGCGGUGGAAUGCGCAGAUAUCAGGAGGAACACCGAUGGCGAAGGCAGAUCUCUGGGCCGUAACUGACGCUGAGGAGCGAAAGGGUGGGGAGCAAACAGGCUUAGAUACCCUGGUAGUCCACCCCGUAAACGUUGGGAACUAGUUGUGGGGUCCAUUCCACGGAUUCCGUGACGCAGCUAACGCAUUAAGUUCCCCGCCUGGGGAGUACGGCCGCAAGGCUA
Molecule: ribosomal RNA, 856 nt
Filed under: uncultured bacterium
Lineage: Bacteria
Description: bacterial SSU rRNA
Rfam family: Bacterial small subunit ribosomal RNA
Source: RNAcentral